GACGAACGCUGGCGGCGUGCUUAACACAUGCAAGUCGAACGGAAAGGCCCUGCUUUUGUGGGGUGCUCGAGUGGCGAACGGGUGAGUAACACGUGAGUAACCUGCCCUUGACUUUGGGAUAACUUCAGGAAACUGGGGCUAAUACCGGAUAGGAGCCCCUGCUGCAUGGUGGGGGUUGGAAAGUUUCGGCGGUUGGGGAUGGACUCGCGGCUUAUCAGCUUGUUGGUGGGGUAGUGGCUUACCAAGGCUUUGACGGGUAGCCGGCCUGAGAGGGUGACCGGCCACAUUGCGACUGAGGUACGGUCCAGACUCCUACGGGGGGCAGCGGUGGGAGAUACUGCACAAGGCGCGGAAGCCUGGUGCAGCAACGCCGCGUGCGGGAUGGCCGCCUUGGGGUUGUAAACCGCUUUCGCCUGUGACGAAGCGUGAGUGACGGUAAUGGGUAAAGAAGCACCGGCUAACUACGUG
This 468-nucleotide ribosomal RNA is filed under the name uncultured bacterium. RNAcentral describes it as "partial 16S ribosomal RNA". It matches the Rfam family "Bacterial small subunit ribosomal RNA", at positions 28 to 507 of the family's 1533-position model. The record is from RNAcentral.